This is a long non-coding RNA of Spodoptera frugiperda (fall armyworm), 591 nucleotides long. RefSeq lists it as uncharacterized. NCBI's taxonomy places the organism in Eukaryota, Metazoa, Arthropoda, Insecta, Lepidoptera, Noctuidae. The record is from RefSeq and is a predicted model, not a curated record. The transcript is spliced from 2 exons.
GUGUUGUAGUGUAGAAACGUGGGUGUUGUAGUGUAGAAAUGUGGGUGUUGUAGUGUAGAAAUGUGGGUGUUGUAGUGUAGAAAUGUGGGUGUUGUAGUGUAGAAAUGUGGGUGUUGUAGUGUAGAAAUGUGGGUGUUGUAGUGUAGAAAUGUGGGUGUUGUAGUGUAGAAAUGUGGGUGUUGUAGUGUAGAAAUGUGGGUGUUGUAGUGUAGAAAUGUGGGUGUUGUAGUGUAGAAAUGUGGGUGUUGUAGUGUAGGAACGUGGGUGUUGUAGUGUAGAAACGUGGGUGUUGUAGUGUAGAAACGUGGUUGUUAGUGUAGAAGACGGGAUAUGUAAGGUAAAGUGAAACUGCCAGCUAAGGAUAAUUAAAUGUUUAUUUUACAUUCGUCGUUACAUUCCUUGAUGCAGUCGCAUCGGUCGUCUCAGUCGCAUCACUCGCACAGCCAUCGCUUACUGCGGCGUUUUCUUACAAAACCUUACUUUUUGGUUGCACUACUAUUAAUUGUUUAAAGAUUACAUUGGAAUUACAUUAGAUCUAGCUUAACUUAACAUUCACUAGGACUAUCCAGUACGCCGAGACUCUCAAUAAAU